AUGUGCAGUCAGGUUGUUCUGAGUGAGGAACCUGACAAAGUCAAAUGGCUUUUGACCAGCUCUAGUCAGUUCUCUGUUAAAUCUCUUUAUCGAUAUAUUAUUGCUAAGAGAGUAGUGUUCCCUUUUAAGUUUAUGUGGAAACUGAAGGUACCUUUGAAAAUUAAUGCUUUUAUAUGUUUAGUUAUCAAAGGGGGGAUCCUGACCAAGGACAACUUGUGUAAAAAAGGCUGGAAAGGCACCAACAAAUGUGAAUUUUGUGAUGCCAAUGAAUGUAUUGACCAUCUGUUUUUCACUUGUUCUUUUGCUCGGUUUCUUUGA
This 318-nucleotide ribosomal RNA is filed under the name Triticum aestivum (bread wheat). RNAcentral's name for it is "partial small subunit ribosomal RNA". The record is from RNAcentral. Lineage: Eukaryota; Viridiplantae; Streptophyta; Magnoliopsida; Poales; Poaceae.